RNAcentral lists this ribosomal RNA (812 nucleotides) under Streptomyces violascens. Its description in RNAcentral is "bacterial SSU rRNA". It matches the Rfam family "Bacterial small subunit ribosomal RNA", at positions 47 to 873 of the family's 1533-position model. The record is from RNAcentral. Lineage: Bacteria; Bacillati; Actinomycetota; Actinomycetes; Kitasatosporales; Streptomycetaceae.
CUUACCAUGGCAAGUCGAACGAUGAACCGCUUUCGGGCGGGGAUUAGUGGCGAACGGGUGAGUAACACGUGGGCAAUCUGCCCUGCACUCUGGGACAAGCCCUGGAAACGGGGUCUAAUACCGGAUAUGACUGUCCAUCGCAUGGUGGAUGGUGUAAAGCUCCGGCGGUGCAGGAUGAGCCCGCGGCCUAUCAGCUUGUUGGUGAGGUAGUGGCUCACCAAGGCGACGACGGGUAGCCGGCCUGAGAGGGCGACCGGCCACACUGGGACUGAGACACGGCCCAGACUCCUACGGGAGGCAGCAGUGGGGAAUAUUGCACAAUGGGCGAAAGCCUGAUGCAGCGACGCCGCGUGAGGGAUGACGGCCUUCGGGUUGUAAACCUCUUUCAGCAGGGAAGAAGCGAAAGUGACGGUACCUGCAGAAGAAGCGCCGGCUAACUACGUGCCAGCAGCCGCGGUAAUACGUAGGGCGCAAGCGUUGUCCGGAAUUAUUGGGCGUAAAGAGCUCGUAGGCGGCUUGUCACGUCGGUUGUGAAAGCCCGGGGCUUAACCCCGGGUCUGCAGUCGAUACGGGCAGGCUAGAGUUCGGUAGGGGAGAUCGGAAUUCCUGGUGUAGCGGUGAAAUGCGCAGAUAUCAGGAGGAACACCGGUGGCGAAGGCGGAUCUCUGGGCCGAUACUGACGCUGAGGAGCGAAAGCGUGGGGAGCGAACAGGAUUAGAUACCCUGGUAGUCCACGCCGUAAACGGUGGGGCACUAGGUGUGGGCAACAUUCCACGUUGUCCGUGCCGCAGCUAACGCAUAAGUGCCCCGCC